CAGUAGCCGCGGUAAGACAGAGGAUGCAAGCGUUAUCCGGAAUGAUUGGGCGUAAAGGGCUCGCAGGCGGUUUCUUAAGUCUGAUGUGAAAGCCCCCGGCUCAACCGGGGAGGGUCAUUGGAAACUGGGAAACUUGAGUGCAGAAGAGGAGAGUGGAAUUCCACGUGUAGCGGUGAAAUGCGUAGAGAUGUGGAGGAACACCAGUGGCGAAGGCGACUCUCUGGUCUGUAACUGACGCUGAGGAGCGAAAGCGUGGGGAGCGAACAGGAUUAGAUACCCCGGUAGUCCCUGUCUCUUAUAC
RNAcentral lists this ribosomal RNA (301 nucleotides) under uncultured bacterium. RNAcentral describes it as "partial 16S ribosomal RNA". It matches the Rfam family "Bacterial small subunit ribosomal RNA", at positions 509 to 807 of the family's 1533-position model. The record is from RNAcentral.